This is a long non-coding RNA of Centruroides sculpturatus (bark scorpion), 352 nucleotides long. RefSeq lists it as uncharacterized. The record is from RefSeq and is a predicted model, not a curated record. NCBI's taxonomy places the organism in Eukaryota, Metazoa, Arthropoda, Arachnida, Scorpiones, Buthidae. The transcript is spliced from 3 exons.
UUGCCACUUAAUCCACUUACCUGUACCGUUAAAAUGGAAUGUUUACUGAACUUUAAAUAUUAUUAACGAUGUAAAUUCAUUUAUCAGUUUCUAGAACUUGAAGAGAAUUAUUAGAUUUAAAUGCAAGGAUAUUUAUUUAAAAACGUUUCAAUGCAGAUGUGCAAUUUUACAUUCCUUCAUAAUAGACCUAUAGUAAAGAGUGAAAUUUUUGCAUAUCUAAAUGUAUCUUUGGCUGUUCUUACUUGCAUUGUUAUAAUUGUUUAUAUGAUACAUCAAUGGAUAAAAUGGAGAUAUGUUUAUCAUCCAUUUUCUAACUUUAAAUUUGUAAAAUAGAUGAUAAUUUGAAGAGGAA